Bos taurus (domestic cattle) is the source of this 1134-nucleotide long non-coding RNA. The record is from Ensembl. Lineage: Eukaryota; Metazoa; Chordata; Mammalia; Artiodactyla; Bovidae.
CCAGACCACCUGACCUGCCUCUUGAGAAAUCUGUAUGCAGGUCAGGAAGCAACAGUUAGAACUGGACAUGGAACAACAGACUGGUUCCAAAUAGGAAAAGGGUAUGUCAAGGCUGUAUAUUGGCACCCUGCUUAUUUAACUUAUAUGCAGAGUACAUCAUGAGAAAUGCUGGGCUGGAAGAAGCACAAGCUGGAAUCAAGAUUGCUGGGAGAAAUAUCAAUAACCUCAGAUAUGCAGAUGACAGCACCCUUACGGCAGAAAGUGAAGAGGAACUGAAAAGCCCAGGAAAAACAUCCUAUAUUCAUAUGGAAUUCAAGGGAUGCUGAAGAGACAAAAUUAUCUUGCAAAUGUGUGUUCCUGCAGUAACAGAGACAUACAGAUCAUGGAAUAGACCUGAGAACCCAGCAACAAAUUCUCACUUCUAUUUUCACUUGACUGCUCAUAGAAGUGCUAAGACUGGUCACUGGGCCCAGAACAGAUCCAACAAUUGGCACUGCAGAACCCAGACUCCACGUGCCAAACCUUGAGGGUGGACCUGACCUCAUACCAUACACGGACGUUAACACUAGGCGAAACAAGGCCAAAAUUUUGGAGCUAAGCUACAGAACUGUAGAAGGAAAAUCAGCUGCACAUCUUCAUGACCUUAGACUUGAUGAUGGUGCCUUAAGUAUCAGACCAGAAGCACAGAAAAUAAUGAGAAAUAGAGACAUUGGCCUUCAAAAACAUAGUGAAAAAAUUUCCAUGCAUCACUGAAUCUUCUCAUGGGAUUGAAGAUACAACCUAGUGAAGGGCAGAAAAUGUUUCCAAAUAUUAGGCCUGCUAUGGUUUUAAUAUGCAGAAUAUGUAAACGGACCAGAAACCCAAACAGACAUUUCUCAAAGGAAACAUACAAAUAUCCAGCCGCUCAUGAAAAGAUGUUCAACAUCGCUAAUUAUUAGAAAAGUGGAAAUUAAAACUACAAUGAUAUACCACCUCACAUGGGUCAGAAUGGCCAGCAUCAAAAAAUCUAUAAGCAAUAACUGCUGGAGAGGAUGCAGAGAAAAGGCGAUCCUCCUAUACUGCUGGAGGGAAUGUAAAAUGGGUAUACUAAAAACUGAGAACAGUAUGAAGAUUCCUUUAAAAACUAUAUAUAGA